GAUGAACGCUGGCGGCGUGCUUAACACAUGCAAGUCGAACGAGAAGUGAAGACGGAAACCUUCGGGCGGAAGGCUUUAUUUCGAGUGGCGGACGGGUGAGUAACGCGUGGGUAACCUGCCUCAUACAGGGGGAUAACAGUUGGAAACGACUGUUAAUACCGCAUAAGACCACAGCACCGCAUGGUGCGGGGGUAAAAACUCCGGUGGUAUGAGAUGGACCCGCGUUCGAUUAGCCAGUUGGCGGGGUAACGGCCCACCAAAGCGACGAUCGAUAGCCGAUCUGAGAGGGUGACCGGCCACAUUGGGACUGGGACACGGCCCAAACUCCUACGGGAGGCAGCAGUGGGGAAUAUUGCACAAUGGGGGAAACCCUGAUGCAGCGACGCCGCGUGAGUGAAGAAGUAUUUCGGUAUGUAAAGCUCUAUCAGCAGGGAAGAAAAUGACGGUACCUGAGGAAGAAGCCCCGGCUAACUACGUG
RNAcentral lists this ribosomal RNA (478 nucleotides) under uncultured bacterium. RNAcentral describes it as "partial 16S ribosomal RNA". It matches the Rfam family "Bacterial small subunit ribosomal RNA", at positions 28 to 507 of the family's 1533-position model. The record is from RNAcentral.